RNAcentral lists this long non-coding RNA (3218 nucleotides) under Homo sapiens (human). RNAcentral describes it as "non-protein coding lnc-CACNA2D1-1:1". Lineage: Eukaryota; Metazoa; Chordata; Mammalia; Primates; Hominidae. The record is from RNAcentral.
GUAAGCAAGCCCUUAAUAAAUGCUUUGAUGUAAUGUUCCUUUUGUUCACAGUACAGUUAUGUAGUGCUAGCCAGAUAUUUAAAAAUGCUCUAAGAAAAGCUUGUCAGGGGGGAGGGGGAAAUGUUUUUCUUGUGAUAAAUGAACUUUGGUUUACCAAGGGUAUUUUGCAUGAUGCUGCUGCUAUUUUAACUUUUCAGUUGUUUUUUCUCUUACUGUAGAGUGUAGUCAUUGAAAAGUUAACUGAGUGAUAUUGUUAUGUAAGAAUCUGAACCUUGCAGUGUAAAUGCACUUAAGUCAUCUUUAAAAUGUUGUUAAACUACUCUGAAUAUACUGUGCAAUGUAAAUGCUGAAUGAUUGGGGUUAGAUAAAUGGUGAAAUGAGAAUUAAUGAAUUUUAUACAGAUUCAUGCUUUCGCCUGAUAACCUAUGUACAGAUAUUUUAAGUACAUAAAUCAGAUUUGACACAUUUAUUUUUUGAAAAGUACAUAUAUGUUCUCAAUGAAGAUUCAUCCUAGGUUUCCUCUUUGUUCGUUUCAAUAGUAGCACAUACAAUCCAAAAGUUCCUGCUACUGCUGCUUUUGCCCUUCCAUUUUAAAUGGUAUGAUCGUUUGGCCAAAAUUUCCAUGCAAGUUGAUAAGGGUUUUACAAUAAUCUGAACAAAUAGGAAACCUUGAAUCUCUAUGUAUGCACAUGAAUACUUGAUUGUGAAUAAUAAAAGUUGUUUUUUAUACAGCCUCAUUGGUGAAAAUGGUUAGUGUAGUAAAUCAGAUAUUUCAUUAUAGACUAAUAUGGUAGCAGAUUAUUUAUGCUUUUAAAAAUUAUUUUCUGGAGCAAACAGUAUUUGAAGAAAAGGUAAAAACUAUGAAUGUGUAAUUCUAAGAAUAGUUAAUAAUUUUACUGAAGGCUGAACGUAUGUAGAUAUUUUUUAUGAUAAAAUGCAGUUUUUCUUUUUUUGGAACAUGCCAAUUACUGGUAUGUGUAUAUGCUGGAAAUUUUCUUACAUAUCCUUUUUAAGUCAAAGUUAUUAACAUUAUCCAGCAUGCUUUAAUAUGCUCCACAUAUCAAAGAUAUAACCAAUAAUUUAACGUAGCUUAAAAGAUAACAUUUGUUUUGUUUUUAGCUUUGCAUACAUUUGUAAUUCCCUCCCACCACCAAUAUACCUUAGGUACCAUUUGUGUACAUUUCAAGAUUUUUUUUUUCAAUAAAAAGGUGGGGGGAAAUGGAAUCACUUUGCCAACUAUUGUUCUAAGAGUUGACAUCAGUUACCAUUUCUAAUGCAUUGUUGUGAUUUUGUAGUGUCAUUCAUAACUGGUAUUGACAUUUUAGAAAACACCAAAGUGAUUUAAAAUAUAUGUGGGGAAAAAAACUUCUCACUCUAGUAACAAUGUUUUAAUCAUGUUGUUUGUUAAAUAUUUAAAAGUUAUUGUUCAAUUUUUGCUAGACUAUCUUAAAUCAUGAUAGUGUUGGGAAGGGGGUAUCAAAAUAUAAAAUUGUUAGUUUGUGUAUAUAAACAAUGCACAUUAAAACAAUUGAAUUGCUUCCAGCAUACAACAAACUACCUUAAAAUUAUGUUCAAAAUCUAUUAAAUAUAUUUUCAUGGCUAAUGUCGAGUAUAUGUUUUCAUCAAUUACAUUGUUAUUGUAUUAAUCGCGGUUAAACUUGGCAUCUCUUGGCAGGAUCCUAUUUAAUUUCUGUUGCCAUCAAAAUAUAUUUAUAUGCAUGAGUUUUGCUAUAAACCUUUAUUUUCUGCUAUAAAGUUAUAUAUUAUGACAACCAUAAAUGCAAUUACAAAUUGGGUAAGAACAAGCUGAAUAAAAGUUGUUCCCAUGACUAAUAUUAGUCUUCAUGCUUUUAGCAUAUUUUUUAAGACAGUAACACUCAUCCCAUCAAAUUAUUACAUUACAUUUAGUAUUUUUCUGAGUUACAUUGACAAGAACUUAAAUUAUAGCCUGUUAUUAAUAUUGAUUUCCAACGACUGAACAGUACAACAGAUCAAUAAAAAAGUUUAUACACUGCUUUAACUAAUUUUUGUUAUACUCAUGUGGCUUAGUGUAGUUAGUCACUAAAACAGAGUUCAAGUGAGCUUGGCAAUGGUGUUGAGUAACAAGAAAGAAUUUUGCAUUAAUGAUUUCUUUUUAUUUUCCUCAUUUAAACAACCAGCAUUACUGCCAAACACCAACCGUGGUCCAUAUUUGUAACAGGUUUUUAACAUGACAUAGUUAGCAAGUUUGAUUGAAGAGAUUUUUAGGUCCUGGGCCUAUAAGAUUUUAGUAUGAUCUUUUUUCAUGUUUCUAAUGCUUGAGGUGUUACUGCUUAACUUGGGAAAAAAAAAAACAAAAAACAGUGUUCCUGCCAUUUGUAAGUUUUCCUAUAAUAUUCCUUUUAUUAACUUUAAAACUGGACUUAUCGGGUUCAAAUAGGCAGUAUCCCUUUUAAGUGACCUUUGCAACCCAAGUGUUACUUGCUUAUUUGAUGCUCUCUUGUAUUUUAAAUCUCAUUUAAAUCUUUGUCUGUGACCAACAAAGCUUAAGAUUUUGUCUUCAUUUAAAACUCUGAAUCUAUUCCAUUGAUCAUGUUAGACGUUCAAAUGUUUAAUGGUAUAGUCUGACCUAGUGAAACAAAAUGGAUGUUGUUACUUUUUUUAAAGAAUAGAAUGAAAUAACUAUUUCACUUGCCCAAAAUUUUAAAUAUUUUUUCAUCUAAACUUGUAUUGUUUCCCAUAGCAGAAUGUCAAUAUUCACAGUACAUUUCUGUAAAGAGCAAACCAAUAUAAUGUUUUGAGUGUUGAAAAAAAUUCCAGAUUUUUGAAGAAUUAGACAACUCUUCAUCUACCUUAUUUCUAGUUCACACAGUUAUCUCAAAUUCCACUGAAACUAAUGGGAUACUGUCUUGUGUAGAUGCCAGUUGAGUUUAUAAUGUGACCUAGUAAAGCUGUCUUUUUUGUUGUGUUGUAUGAGUGUCGGAUCAUGCUUUUAGGAAUACUUUUAUUAAAAUGGUGUGCAUUCAUGCAAAAGGCCAACUGGCUUUUGUGAACAAUAGAUCUUUUCUCCCCUUUAUUUUGUUCUCUUGACACUUUUGUGAAAAUUACCUAGCCUGAUAAAAACAUUUUGUAAAAAUUUGUAUAAUACUGUUAUAAAAUAUUUAUAAUCCCAGAAAAUGUUGUGUUAAAUCUUGUGCAAAAACAGUAUAUUCAGAAUAAAAGUUUAUCAUUUAAAGUCA